GCUGUCGUCAGCUCGUGUCGUGAGAUGUUGGGUUAAGUCCCGCAACGAGCGCAACCCUUGAUCUUAGUUGCCAGCACUUCGGGUGGGCACUCUAGGAUGACUGCCGGUGACAAACCGGAGGAAGGCGGGGAUGACGUCAAAUCAUCAUGCCCCUUAUGACCUGGGCUACACACGUACUACAAUGGCCGGUACAACGGGCAGCGAAGCCGCGAGGCGGAGCGAAUCCUUUUAAAGCCGGUCUCAGUUCGGAUUGCAGUCUGCAACUCGCCUGCAUGAA
This 277-nucleotide ribosomal RNA is filed under the name uncultured Paenibacillus sp. RNAcentral's name for it is "partial 16S ribosomal RNA". It matches the Rfam family "Bacterial small subunit ribosomal RNA", at positions 1048 to 1324 of the family's 1533-position model. The record is from RNAcentral. Lineage: Bacteria; Bacillati; Bacillota; Bacilli; Caryophanales; Paenibacillaceae.